AAUCAACGCUGGCGGCGUGCCUAACACAUGCAAGUCGAACGCGAAAGUCCCGCAAGGGAUCAGUAGAGUGGCAAACGGGUGAGUAACACGUGGGUGACCUGCCUUCGAGUGGGGGAUAACGUCCCGAAAGGGACGCUAAUACCGCAUGACAUCCUGCCUUUUAAGAGGUGGAGCUUAAAGCUGGGGAUCGCAAGACCUGGCGCUUGAAGAGGGGCCCGCGCCUGAUUAGCUAGUUGGUGGGGUAACGGCUCACCAAGGCAACGAUCAGUA
Molecule: ribosomal RNA, 270 nt
Filed under: uncultured bacterium
Lineage: Bacteria
Description: partial 16S ribosomal RNA
Rfam family: Bacterial small subunit ribosomal RNA
Source: RNAcentral